GUUCGAGCGUCAUUAUAAUCACUCGAGCCUAGCUUGGUAUUGGGGUUCGCGUGCUCGCGGCCCUUAAAAUUAGUGGCGGCGCCUGUUAGGCUCUAAGCGUAGUAAUACUCCUCGCUAUAGGGACCCGGCAGACGCUGGCCAGCAACCCCCAACUUUCUAAGUUUGACCUCGGAUCAGGUAGGGAUACCCGCUGAACUUAA
This 200-nucleotide unclassified non-coding RNA is filed under the name soil metagenome. RNAcentral's name for it is "partial contains internal transcribed spacer 2 and large subunit ribosomal RNA". The record is from RNAcentral.